GUGCAGCAGGCGCGAAACCUCCGCAAUACACGAAAGUGUGACGGGCCAUCCCGAGUGCCGUCCGCUGAGGACGGCUUUUCCCCAGUGUACACAGCUGGGGGAAUAAGGGGAGGGCAAGCCUGGUGUCAGCCGCCGCGGUAAUACCAGCUCUCCGAGUGGUGGGGACGCUUAUUGGGCCUAAAGCAUCCGUGGCCGGCUGGGCAAGUCCUCCGUUAAAUCCAACGAUUCAAUCGUUGGGCUGCGGGGGAUACUGUCCAGCUUGGGGGCGGGAGAGGCCGACGGUAUUCCCGGGGUAGGGGUGAAAUCCUAUAAUCCCGGGAGGACCACCAGUGGCGAAGGCUGUCGGCUAGAACGCGCCCGACGGUGAGGGAUGAAAGCUGGGGGAGCGAACCGGAUUAGAUACCCCGGUAGU
RNAcentral lists this ribosomal RNA (412 nucleotides) under uncultured microorganism. Its description in RNAcentral is "bacterial SSU rRNA". It matches the Rfam family "Archaeal small subunit ribosomal RNA", at positions 330 to 745 of the family's 1478-position model. The record is from RNAcentral.